Long non-coding RNA from Cyprinus carpio carpio, 390 nucleotides. NCBI's taxonomy places the organism in Eukaryota, Metazoa, Chordata, Actinopteri, Cypriniformes, Cyprinidae. The record is from Ensembl.
GUGACGAGCACGGGAGAGCGCGCGCGCUACAGGCGCAGCUGAUGGGUUUUUCUGCGGCGCGCGGAAGGUAAACAGUUGGCUACAAACCACUGCUGACAAAUGUUAUUUGGGAUAAAUGAUCUCCAAAUGAUCAUUUUCUCUGGAAUAAACAAUAAAUCAUUGAUCUGAAACGUCGGAGCCUGAACUUCAAACACAGUAAAGAAAUGCAUACAAGUUUGGAACAACAUGAGGAUUUGAACUGCUGGAUCCAACCGUGGUUACACAGGAUUUGAACCGGAGCUCCUCACCUCUCAAGUACACCUCCGUACUCCUUGAGCUACCGAACAAACCUACUGCCUAUGAAAACCCAUAGAUAUGAAGCUGGAUGCGUGCUAUGCUAACAUUCAAAAG